GAUGAACGCUGGCGGCGUGCCUAAUACAUGCAAGUCGAGCGAACAGAUAAGGAGCUUGCUCCUUUGACGUUAGCGGCGGACGGGUGAGUAACACGUGGGUAACCUACCUAUAAGACUGGAAUAACUUCGGGAAACCGGGGCUAAUGCCGGAUAAUAUUUAGAACCGCAUGGUUCUAAAGUGAAAGAUGGUUUUGCUAUCACUUAUAGAUGGACCCGCGCCGUAUUAGCUAGUUGGUAAGGUAACGGCUUACCAAGGCAACGAUACGUAGCCGACCUGAGAGGGUGAUCGGCCACACUGGAACUGAGACACGGUCCAGACUCCUACGGGAGGCAGCAGUAGGGAAUCUUCCGCAAUGGGCGAAAGCCUGACGGAGCAACGCCGCGUGAGUGAUGAAGGUCUUCGGAUCGUAAAACUCUGUUAUUAGGGAAGAACAAAUGUGUAAGUAACUGUGCACGUCUUGACGGUACCUAAUCAGAAAGCCACGGCUAACUACGUG
Molecule: ribosomal RNA, 497 nt
Filed under: uncultured bacterium
Lineage: Bacteria
Description: partial 16S ribosomal RNA
Rfam family: Bacterial small subunit ribosomal RNA
Source: RNAcentral